UACACACCGCCCGUCACACCAUGGGAGUGGGUUCCACCAGAAGCCGGUCGCCUAACCGCAAGAGGGGCGCCGACCACGGUGAGAUUCAUGACUGGGGUG
This 99-nucleotide ribosomal RNA is filed under the name uncultured bacterium. Its description in RNAcentral is "partial 16S ribosomal RNA". It matches the Rfam family "Bacterial small subunit ribosomal RNA", at positions 1384 to 1482 of the family's 1533-position model. The record is from RNAcentral.